AGGACGAACGCUGGCGGCGUGCUUAACACAUGCAAGUCGAGCGGAAAGGCCACUUCGGUGGUACUCGAGCGGCGAACGGGUGAGUAACACGUGAGUAAUCUGCCCCUGGCUUUGGGAUAGCCACCGGAAACGGUGAUUAAUACCGGAUAUGACCACGUACUGCAUGGUGUGUGGUGGAAAGUUUUUCGGCCAGGGAUGUGCUCGCGGCCUAUCAGCUUGAUGGUGAGGUAAUGGCUCACCAUGGCUUCGACGGGUAGCCGGCCUGAGAGGGUGACCGGUCACACUGGGACUGGAGACACGGCCCAGACUCCUACGGGAGGCAGCAGUGGGAAUAUGGACAGUGGGCGAAGCCUGAUCCAGCAACGCCGCGUGAGGAUGACGGCCUUCGGGUGUAAACCUCUUUCAGUACCGACGAGCGCAAGUGACGGUAGUACAGAAGAAGCACCGGCCAACUACGUGCCGAGUAGCCGAC
This 472-nucleotide ribosomal RNA is filed under the name uncultured soil bacterium. RNAcentral's name for it is "bacterial SSU rRNA". It matches the Rfam family "Bacterial small subunit ribosomal RNA", at positions 26 to 518 of the family's 1533-position model. The record is from RNAcentral.